This 1363-nucleotide long non-coding RNA is filed under the name Crocodylus porosus (Australian saltwater crocodile). RNAcentral's name for it is "lncRNA (ENSCPRG00005006792.1)". Lineage: Eukaryota; Metazoa; Chordata; Crocodylia; Crocodylidae. The record is from RNAcentral.
GCCCUUCUGACAUAAUGAGAUUUCCUUCAGUAACAGCCAUUCUUGUUUGUGUAGAAGUCAGCUUUCUCACGAACAAAUCCAAGAGUGUGGAAUACACUCCUAAAGAAAUUAAGGAGGGUUACAAACUUCACCACCCUCUACAGCUAGUGUAAGAUGUAUGUCUUUGACCUUGCCUUUUCUAACAUGAACAUAGAGCAGUGUGUGUGUGUGUGUGUGUGUGUGUGUGUGUGUGUGCAAAUAAGAACAAUCUAAAACAUACAUUUGACUACGUACACAUUUCCCCAGGGGGAGAGGAGAAAAUGGACCCAUGACAGAAGGUAGGGCCAUUAACACCUGUUGAAUGAGGAGUUUAGAAGCAAGGAGGUAGACUAUAACAACCGCUAUAGUCAUUGACUUCUUCACUGGUGCCUGAAUACAAAUGCUUCUGCUACUGCCAGGAAGUUGGUUUUAAACUUUGAGUAGACCAGGAAUCCAAGGGGGUGAAACUACACAACUGCUCUUGGAUUUGCUCCUGUAAAUGCCAUUAUGCCUUUACACUCCAUCUCUGUUCUGGUGAGAGAGGCUACAAACUUUUGAAUGCUAAUAUUUCUGCUGCCAAAGGCUAAAGGUCAUCCAGAUGCCAAGAAGACCAGUGAUGAUUAGUCACUCUAAUCGUCAGGAAUGAAAGACGAGCACAACAUCCAGUCAGGCAACUAGCAGAGUGGUUCAGCAAUUGAAUGGUACCCAUCCACCAAGAAUUCUGACCAGAAUGGAUCCAUCAGCUUUCAAGGCCUGGCCAGCACAUACCCCAAAGACAACACAGAAUGAGCCAAGCUUCAGGGAUGGUUCAACUGUGUGUGGAGUGCACACUUCAAACUGCAGGGAUGCGUCAAGUGCUCUUGGAACACUAAGAGAAAACCGAAUGGGAGCUGAUGAAUUUAAUGAAAAUCUCUUUCAGUCAAGAAAGAUCUGGAAUUUGAAUCAUUCAACUGUUGUCAAUUUCAGUGAUCACAACAUUGUAUUAAAUAUCUAAUUUUAGACUCCUCCUAAUGCCAUUAUCAAAUAUAUUUCCCUUCUGUGAAGCAGGUGAUGCUUGGGUUUAGACAAAGUUUAUAGAUGAUACUCCACAGCUGCUUGGGUUGGAUGAGCUCAUUCCUAUAAUCUAACACCUGACAGAAAUAUCAGCCUGAAAUUUUGGAUCACUUAAUUAAUGCCAAAGUUCCAGCUCGUAAGGCACUGAAAAUGAAGCAAUUGAUUCAGUAAACUUACUCCAUUUUCUCUGUAUUCUGUUGGCUGUUCUAGAUUUGGCUGCUAUUUAUCCUUUUCAUCAGCAAAUACUUCUGCCACUGAGGUACUUUUUCAUAGUUGGAUACAUCUAGCUACA